AGUACCAUGGGAUAUCUGCCCAGGCAGUGGGGUGUUUGUUUUGAGAGAAGCACAAUACUGGGUGAAUGCCACAAUUCAGAGAAACAAGUACUUUGGCCAACAUAAACAAUGCAGUUAUUGAUAUAUUUACACAGCCAAGGUUCCUGUCUUGAAUUGUCACCAUCCAUUGGACUCAAUUGCCUUUUCUUUGCUCUCCACCUCAAGUCACAGUGUUGAACCUGACACAGGAGCAGCUCUAAGAAGUCUGGUUGUUCAUCAUAAGCUUCAUACAUGUUGACAAAGAAGACACUGAAAAAACCUGGUACCAUGGUACCAGCAUGCUCAAGCCUAUUGCCUCCAGCAGUCCCACUUCUUCUCUGUGAAGGGCUGUGAGAAUCACCAAUACCUGCCCUUGCUCCAGCCACCUUGGAUAUCCCCACAAGCUCUGACUUCAUCUGGGGUCAUAAGGAGUGGAAAGGCUGAGAACACCCUGUCCUGUUUUCAGCUGGCUAGGAAGGAAGAUAAGUUGGGAAAGGCAACAGGAGCCCAUUGACCAGCUGUCUGAGGACUCAGCAGGCUAGUCCUUCAAAGUUUUUCCAUGAAGCCAGCAGCAGAGGAAGGGAGGCAUCAGCAUGGCACAGAAGCUGAGGUUCCUCAGCAGUGAGGCAGCAGUUGCGGUAAACAACACAGCAUGCUUCCAGGAAGGGACUUGCUCCCAGCAUGGACAGAUCAUCUCUGGAUGAUUGAGGACCAAUCCCAUAAUUUUCUUUGCAUAUAGCAUGAAAGAGAGCCCUAAAUGUAGCAAGGAAGUCUCCUCUUGCCCAGGUCCAUGCUCUGUUGGCCACCAUGUCCAGGAUGUAGUUCUCUCUAUGACAAACUUGCAGCCUAACUCCCCACAGAGCACUGCUCCUGAGUUCCUCCAGCUCAUUUUGCCUGAUUGACUCAGCAGUGCUGCAGUUGGUGUCAUGUUACACCCAGACGGUUCUGUCAGCAGACCAAAAACAGUGGACUUCCCAUCGAAGCACAAGCAAGCCAUAGGUGUCUGUGUGCAAACCUGGGCUUGUCAGAAAACAAGGCUGCCAUCAUGAUGCCACAUGAGAGUCAAUUCCCUCCCCAGUGAAUGGGGAGUGGGAUGCCACAUACCUGAAAGAAGAUGACAAGGGAAGCAACUACCCAUAUGUGAGACAGCAGGGAAGUAUUGCUCCAAAAGUGCUGACAAUAACUCCCACCUGAAAUAUUUUUAUACAGACAGAGCUAAAGAGAAAGUCUUUUAUAAAUUGUAAAAGAAGUGCAGGAGUAAUUAAUAAUAGAGUAAUAAAAUGGUGAAUGCUACUUCACGGUA
This is a long non-coding RNA of Cyanistes caeruleus (blue tit), 1321 nucleotides long. RefSeq lists it as uncharacterized. Lineage: Eukaryota; Metazoa; Chordata; Aves; Passeriformes; Paridae. The record is from RefSeq and is a predicted model, not a curated record.